Cololabis saira (Pacific saury) is the source of this 501-nucleotide non-coding RNA. The record is from the annotation of a RefSeq genome assembly. Lineage: Eukaryota; Metazoa; Chordata; Actinopteri; Beloniformes; Belonidae.
CAGCAAAGAUCAAUUGUUCACACAGGAUUCAGAACUACAACCAAAUCCUCUGGGAGGUGACAGUCCUGCAUCUCUGCUGUGACGUCACACACACUGACAGCGAUCGUAGAAGUUCAGUGUUUCCAGAAGAAGAUCAUGAUCACAGCCGCUCUGGUCCAACUCUCCGCUGCUCUGCUUUGUUUUGGAGGUGCAGCUGAUGGGAGCGAUGUCCACCAGACCGCUGUGCUGUGGAGGGAAACGGGUCGGUCAGCCACCAUGAACUGCAGCCACACUAAGGGCAGCACAUAUCGGCAGAUGUACUGGUACCGACAGCUGCCCGGGGAGGGGAUGGAGCAGGUCGUUUUCACCACUGCAUACAGCGCUCACGACUAUGAAAGCGGCUUCAGUGAGGUGAAGUUUCCAGCUGAGAAGAAGGAUGCUGAGACUGGAUCUCUGACGGUGAAGAACCUGCAGCCUGGAGACAGCGGAGUGUAUUUCUGUGCUGUCAGUGAAACACAGUGA